This 253-nucleotide ribosomal RNA is filed under the name uncultured bacterium. Its description in RNAcentral is "partial 16S ribosomal RNA". It matches the Rfam family "Bacterial small subunit ribosomal RNA", at positions 524 to 776 of the family's 1533-position model. The record is from RNAcentral.
UACGUCGGGGGCAAGCGUUGUCCGGAUUUAUUGGGCGUAAAGAGCGUGUAGGCGGCCUGGAAGGUCAGCUGUGAAAACUCGAGGCUCAACCUCGAGACGUCGGUUGAAACCACCUGGCUAGAGUCCGGAAGAGGAGAGUGGAAUUCCCGGUGUAGCGGUGAAAUGCGCAGAUAUCGGGAAGAACACCCGUGGCGAAGGCGGCUCUCUGGGCCAUAACUGACGCUGAGGAGCGAAAGCGUGGGGAGCGAACAGG